Long non-coding RNA from Cyprinus carpio carpio, 2720 nucleotides. The record is from Ensembl. NCBI's taxonomy places the organism in Eukaryota, Metazoa, Chordata, Actinopteri, Cypriniformes, Cyprinidae.
GCUACAGUGCACAGUACACUUUCCCUGAACACUUUGACCCUGCUUGACUGAGUUCAGAUCCAUAGAUUAGGUUGUCUAGAAUGGCUGUCAUGUCACGAUUUUGAGAAAGACUGUUCAGAUUUGCUAUAUGUGACACAGGUUUCUUUUAUGCAGACAGAAAACAGCUGAUAGGAAAAUGUAGCUUAGGUGAUUGUCUACAAACAGCCUGACAAGUCUGUGAGAAUGCUGGCCUGCAAUGACACAGAGACUUGGACUCCAAAUUAGAGAUGUGUGAACAGCACAAUCUUUUUCCCAGUAGCACUGACAUUAAUGAGGAGCUCAGGUGUCAGGGGAAGAGACGUGUGUCAGACGUCAGGAGAUACCACUGUGGAGCCACAGAAGGGGAGCAACAAAAGGGGCUCAGAGAAGAGUGGGUGAGGUGUUUGUUGCAUAUCCUGAGAACGUGUGGCCAUGGGGGGUGUCAUUAGAGCCACUUGUUGGGCUGGUGGGUGGCCAGCAUGUGUGGAGAUUCGGACGCCUGUAAAUGUCACAGAAGAAAGUCCUACUGUGCAUAGAACUCAUUUCCUGUUAACAGCCAGCUCUCUCUAGUUCUGCAUUAUUGAUAAAGGCCAUACGUAUGCUUGCAAACACAAACACACACACUCUUAUGCAAACAAUACCAAACUAUCUUGACAAGUAAUUCACUAAGAACAACAACAACUCUGGCAAACUGUUAGAUCUGGAAACUUCUUAAUAAUUUAGAGCCUUAAGAAAAGAGUUCUGGUAAAUAAAAUUUUGAUAAGCAAGUCAAGCCUUUUUAUUUGAGGGUCAAUUUUUCUUUUUUUUUUUUUUUUGAGAAAUACACCAUGUAGUUGUUAUACCUAUCAAUCAUCUUCAAACAGCUUAAGAUACACAAAACACUUAACAACAUGAACAAUAGUCAGUAUACGGGUUUGUAAACUGUCAGAGUAGCAUGCAGUAGAUGGUGAACUGAGUUUUCUGUGUAAACAUGCACUAAACAGACACAUUUGACUGCAGCACUUAUGUCUUUUGCGUGGGGACAGGAUGUUCUAAAAAUGUUGCACUAAAGUUAAAAUAAUUUCAGCAUUUAAAAAACAAAGGUCUCUAGGCCUUGCAUGCCUAUGCCUUGCCUUUUAAUUACAAAUACGUGUUCUGUGUGAACAGCCCAAUGGUCUCUUCGAUAAAACACAAAAGUUUUGCAUUUGUCUGCAACAGACGGGCUGAAUGAAAACGCUAAUUCUCUCUCUGACAGUGGUGCUCAUAGAAAGCAGAAAUACAGUAGUGUACAAGGGGUAGCAUGUGCAAAUUUUUGUUUCAGACACCCACAUGUUAGAGGAAGAGAAGUUAAACAUUAGUUAUAUGUUUUCAUACAGCCAUUCAAAUUUUUUAUUCACUGUGGUGUUUAGGAAAUAACACCAAAUGUAAAAGUACAGAGACGAGAUUCUUCCUUUCCUGUUCACUAUUGCUUGGCAAAAUAUUCUCUUCAUAAGCACCACCAAAUUGCAGUUUUAAGUAACAGCAGCAAAAUUUGGUUGAGUCGUACAACUCAGAAAUCGGCUCAAAAUUGGAUGGAAAUUGCAGUGUAUGCUCAACUUUAACUUUAAGUUUAAGUUUAGUUAAUUCAUUUACAUAUGGCCCACAUACACUCUGAAGGUGAAAGAGAUGCACAUUAAAUCAUAACCCAAGGUUAUCCAUUCAUUCACUCAAAAAAAUAAAAUAAAAUAAAAAAUAAAUAAAUAAAAUAUAUCUACCAAUUCAAAUCACAAACUGUCACUUUAAGGGGCCACUGAAUUGAGGUCAUGUCUCAAUUACUUUCUAGUGAGGAAAAAAUAAUCCAAAUUGAUUUGAUACUAUCUUAUCUGUUUAGACAAAGCGACAAGUCUGUUGUCGCCUAUGGAGCUUUCAGGCGUUCUGAGCUGUGAGGAAAAGAAAAACAGCAGGGUAGGAGAAUCGUGUUGGAAAUGUCUAUGAGGAAUUCACGCCUCGACUGCCCAGACAUACUGUUAUUUCCCAGAGUGGUGCUAGGGGCUAACACCCUUCUCAGCAGCCAGAGAUAUGACACACACACACACACACACACACACACACACACACAGGACACAGAAGAGUUUAGGACACAGGCCCAUCAAUUUUCUGUUUUUUUCACAAGGGAUGUCUUCUCACAGUUGCCUUUGUUCAAAAAGUGUUUAGUGUGCACGGCUUUGCAUAUGUGUGUGUUGUUUUAUAUCAAAAUGUUAAUUUGACCCAGGUGUAACACCAUCUCCCCAGAACAUGUUGGUGCCUGUCUUUCCAGACUAAUUAUAUAGAUGAUGGAGUAUUUCACUUGUUUACUUCCUGACAUCUUCUUUCAUAAAUCAUGACAAUUAUUGUUAUUUCCUGAGAAAUCAUUGUAUAUUCAUAAUAUUCUUGUAUGCAGGGUUAAAUAUUGGCAAUAGCAAAGUGCAUUUCUUCAAACUCAAUAAAAACAGCAAAGUAUGGAGCCACUUUUUGUUCAUGUAUCUGCAUCUGUUGGCAAAUUAUUUUGUAUCUACAUUUGGAUUACAACUGGAUGUGGGUGGGGCUUAAAGGGAUAGUUCACCCAAAAAUGAAAAUUUGAUGUUUAUCUGCUUACUCCCAGGGCAUCCAAGAUGUAGGUGACUUUUUUUCCUCCUUUUUUUUAACUGUUUAUUGAAUUUUCUUCUGGAUAUAGUAAUAUAAAACAAAUAGCAACUGUGCAAAUU